GGCUGUCGUCAGCUCGUGUCGUGAGAUGUUGGGUUAAGUCCCGCAACGAGCGCAACCCUCGCCUUCAGUUGCCAGCGGGUUGGGCCGGGCACUCUGAAGGAACUGCCGGUGACAAGCCGGAGGAAGGUGGGGAUGACGUCAAGUCCUCAUGGCCCUUAUGUCCUGGGCGACACACGUGCUACAAUGGCGGUGACAAUGGGAAGCGAGGCAGCGAUGCCGAGCGGAUCCCGAAAAGCCGUCUCAGUUCAGAUUGCACUCUGCAACUCGGGUGCAUGAAGCGAAUCGCUAGA
RNAcentral lists this ribosomal RNA (290 nucleotides) under uncultured Acidisphaera sp. Its description in RNAcentral is "partial 16S ribosomal RNA". It matches the Rfam family "Bacterial small subunit ribosomal RNA", at positions 1047 to 1339 of the family's 1533-position model. The record is from RNAcentral. Lineage: Bacteria; Pseudomonadati; Pseudomonadota; Alphaproteobacteria; Acetobacterales; Acetobacteraceae.